GCGGAUAUGGUGGAACGGUAGACACGUUAGUCUUAGGAACUAAUGCUGCAUAGCGUGUGAGUUCGAAUCUCACUAUCCGCA
RNAcentral lists this transfer RNA (81 nucleotides) under Caudoviricetes sp. RNAcentral describes it as "tRNA-Leu". It matches the Rfam family "tRNA". From Rfam's summary of the family: Transfer RNA (tRNA) molecules are approximately 80 nucleotides in length. Their secondary structure includes four short double-helical elements and three loops (D, anti-codon, and T loops). Lineage: Duplodnaviria; Heunggongvirae; Uroviricota; Caudoviricetes. The record is from RNAcentral.